Molecule: ribosomal RNA, 497 nt
Filed under: uncultured bacterium
Lineage: Bacteria
Description: partial 16S ribosomal RNA
Rfam family: Bacterial small subunit ribosomal RNA
Source: RNAcentral
GAUGAACGCUGGCGGCGUGCCUAAUACAUGCAAGUCGAGCGAACGGACGAGAAGCUUGCUUCUCUGAUGUUAGCGGCGGACGGGUGAGUAACACGUGGAUAACCUACCUAUAAGACUGGGAUAACUUCGGGAAACCGGAGCUAAUACCGGAUAAUAUUUUGAACCGCAUGGUUCAAAAGUGAAAGACGGUCUUGCUGUCACUUAUAGAUGGAUCCGCGCUGCAUUAGCUAGUUGGUAAGGUAACGGCUUACUAAGGCAACGAUGCAUAGCCGACCUGAGAGGGUGAUCGGCCACACUGGAACUGAGACACGGUCCAUACUCCUACGGGAGGCAGCAGUAGGGAAUCUUCCGCAAUGGGCGAAAGCCUGACGGAGCAACGCCGCGUGAGUGAUGAAGGUCUUCGGAUCGUAAAACUCUGUUAUUAGGGAAGAACAUAUGUGUAAGUAACUGUGCACAUCUUGACGGUACCUAAUCAGAAAGCCACGGCUAACUACGUG